Chinchilla lanigera (long-tailed chinchilla) is the source of this 439-nucleotide long non-coding RNA. RefSeq lists it as uncharacterized. The record is from RefSeq and is a predicted model, not a curated record. The transcript is spliced from 2 exons. Lineage: Eukaryota; Metazoa; Chordata; Mammalia; Rodentia; Chinchillidae.
UCUAAAUGCAGGGUCUGCUGUGCUGCGAGAUCGCGGAAGCCGGGCCCGGGUGUGCACCUGCUGGCCGCUCCCCGCCACCGGCGGGCCUGGGGUCCCCUUGAGCUCUUCCUCUUCCACCCUAGACUCGGAGCUCCGAGCCUCUGCUGGAACCGACUCUCCUCCGGCCCCGCCCAAAGCUGAGCUUCAGUGCCUCAAUUUGUGACACCUGAAAGCAGCAGAUUUUAAGACAUGGAGGUGGAGGAGCAUCUCCCUGACACCGGACCUGGACCGGACUCGUUUUGUCGGGUCCCAUUAGAACCAGGGCCACGCCACCCGACCCCCGUCUAGCCAGUCUCCCAGCCACGCACCGACAUUCAUGGCCAAGUUCACGCGCAGGUCCACGUCCUCAGCCCAGGCCUGCUGCACAGCGUCCUUGCACAGCACGGGAAAGAUGCCGCGG